This 429-nucleotide ribosomal RNA is filed under the name Chloroflexota bacterium. RNAcentral's name for it is "Chloroflexi bacterium partial 16S ribosomal RNA". It matches the Rfam family "Bacterial small subunit ribosomal RNA", at positions 355 to 776 of the family's 1533-position model. Lineage: Bacteria; Bacillati; Chloroflexota. The record is from RNAcentral.
UGGGGAAUAUUGCACAAUGGGCGCAAGCCUGAUGCAGCCAUGCCGCGUGUAUGAAGAAGGCCUUCGGGUUGUAAAGUACUUUCAGCGGGGAGGAAGGGGGUAAAGUUAAUACCUGUGCUCAUUGACGGUACCGGCAGAAGAAGCACCGGCUAACUCCGUGCCAGCAGCCGCGGUAAUACGGAGGGUGCGAGCGUUAAUCGGAAUUACUGGGCGUAAAGCGUACGCAGGCGGUUUGUUAAGUCAGAUGUGAAAUCCCCGGGCUCAACCUGGGAAGUGCCUCAGAUACUGGCAAGCUUGAGUGCCGGAGAGGGGGGUAGAAUUCCGGGUGUAGCGGUGAAAUGCGGUGUUAUAUGGAGGAAGACCGGUGGCGAAGGCGGGCCCCUGGGCCGAAACUGACGCUCAGGUGCGAAAGCGUGGGGAGCAAACAGG